GAGAAGGGUGGGUUUGUGGAGAAAGGUCAGGAAAGGAGAGGGGGCGGGAAUGUGGGAACCGGGGGACAAGGGGAGAGCUGGGGGCCACAGUUUCCCCUUGCGGGGUAUUUGGCGUGCAACACGCCCCUCGUCAGGCCCAGUGCUUGUUUCCUUUGGAAGCCCUGGAUGCCCCGUAGGAUCACUUGGAGAGCCCCUCCUUCGUUUCCCGCAUUGUCUCCUGAGGUGAGGGGGCAUUGUCUCCUGAGGGAGGAAAGGCUGCGGCCCCCAUCUAGUGCUGGAUAGUCCAAGAAAUGAGAAAGCAGAGGACCCUUGGUCCCAACCCUGACUCUGCCACCAACAAACUGUGUUAUGACAACUCUGUGUGACCUUGGGCAAGUCACUACCUUUCUUUGGGCCUCAGAUUUCCCAUCGGUUUGAGGAAAAAAAAAAAAAAACAACCAAGGAAAAUGCAUGAGAAUGAUACCCCAGAUCUUUUCCAGCUUCAAAAUGGAGUGGUUCUUGAGGAAAGAGUUCAGGAGAAUGGAUUCUAGGAUGUGGGGAAGCUAGGGAAAACAGGCUGAAGAUGGAGGCGAGGCCUUUAGCUGGGGCUGCAGAAAAUCCCCAGGGAUGUGGGGGAUGGUAGGCACAAAGCCUGCAGGGCUGGAGCAGGCUAGCCAGCGCCUCUGGCAUCCUAUUGGAGGGAUGGAAGAACUCUGAAAGUGGCAGAGGAGAGAGACCUAACCCAAGAAAAUGAAGACCAGAAUGAGGUCUUCAUUCUGAGGAGAAGGCAGGACAGAGAGAAGCAAUGGAAGCUAUUUUCUAGUAGACAGCCAACAUCUGUGGGGAGAAGGAGGAAUAUACUAAGGCUGGUAUAGAGGAGUGGGGACUAGGAUGGUCUUGAACACGGAGGGGGCUGGCACUGUUUGGGGCAGCUGAAGCAGGGCAGCCGGUAAAGGUUGACUUCAGGGUAAUCGGCUGGUCUCUCGGCCUCUGUGGUAUUUUUCUUUUUGAUGAGAGGUACCCUUUCUGAGAGGUGUGCCUUCCAGCUUUCAUUUUCCAACACAAAUCCCUUUAGGGACUGAGUCAGACCAGACCGUCCUUGGGAUCACCUGGAGGAUUUCAGGAUUGUGUGUUGUGGGUUGGGGUGAAAAGAAAACAGGAGAAUCAGUUUGUAAGAGAUAGCUGUGGCACCAUCAUCCUUGCUGGGAGACAGCUUUGUGGAGUGGUUGAAAGCACAGGCUUUGGAGUCAGGCUGCAUGGAUUCCAAACCUGCCUCUGCUGUUUAAUCCUUUGGAACCUUGGUCAAGUUAUUUAAUCUCUCCGAACCUCAGUUUCUUUAUUUAUAAAAUGGGGACAAUAAUAACCUUUUAGGUUGCAAGGAUUAAAUGAUUGUUUGGCAUGAUAUCUGGCCCGUAAUAAGCACUCAAUAAAUAUUAGUUAUUAGCUAUUCCCUCUUUCCACACUCUUCCUUCCAUUUCUCCAUUCUUGUUUUUUUCCCCUUUUCUUUCUUCUGAAUCUUUAGUUCUGAGAUGCCGCUUAGAUGUGGAAGAAUUGAUUGCACCUUUGGGGGGAGUGGUCCUUCCAGUGGCCCAGGUGAACACAUGAUGAUCAGAUGAUCAGUUGUCUCUUCGUCUCUCUCCAGCUCAUAUAUGUGUUUUUGUUCCAGGAAAGACACAGGAUCUGCUCUUUCAGCCCCUUUCCUGUAUCCCUCUGUCACACAAGUUACUUCAGUCUUGCCCCAAGGUGUAAUGAGACCCACAGUUGUCCAGGCACUGCAGCAAGUGAGAUAGGGGCAGGGGUGUUUCAGGAAGAAAAGUAUACACAUUGCACGGGAAGCUCAGGGAAGGGAGGGCUGUGGAAGUUCCAUGGUAAUUUAUAUUCAUUCCGUCGCUCUGUCCUCUGCGGGAACUGUCCAAAACAGUCCAGCAUCUGGAUCCUGGCCAGGGGUCUCCGUUCCAAGUUAAAGACGGUCAUUGCUCGCUUCAGCGGCACAUAUGCCAAGUUAAAGAUGCUCAUAUACAUCGGUUCCCGAUUCUGGUCCCCGGCCCCCAGCAGCGCCUGCCCCCUUCCCACCGGGGCCCCCCAUGAUGCCACCACCCUUCAUGCCCCCUCCAGGAAUCCCCCCACCCUUUCCUCCGAUGGGACUACCCCCCAUGAGUCAGAGACCACCAGCCAUCCCCCCGAUGCCACCUGGCAUCAUGCCCCCAAUGCUUCCACCAAUGGGGGCACCACCACCACUCACGCAGAUACCAGGAAUGGUACCUCCCAUGAUGCCAGGAAUGCUGAUGCCAGCGGUGCCUGUCACCGCAGCGCUGCUGUGGCUGGGACAGGCCCUCCGAGGGCGCUGUGGAGUGAGCAUGUGGCCCCUGACGGACGCAUCUACUACUACAACGCUGACGACAAGCAGUCCGUGUGGGAGAAGCCCAGCGUGCUCAAGUCCAAGGCAGAGUUGCUGCUGUCCCAGUGUCCCUGGAAAGAGUACAAGUCAGACACAGGCAAACCUUACUACUAUAACAACCAGAGUAAGGAGUCUCGCUGGACCCGGCCCAAGGACCUGGAUGACCUGGAGGCUCUAGUCAAACAGGAGGCUGCAGGGAAACAGCAGCAGCCCCAGACACUGCAGCCUCAGCCGCCUCAGCCCCAGCCUGAGCCCCCGCCUGUGCCGCCUGGCCCCACCCCUCUGCCCCUGGGCCUUCUAGAGCCUGAGCCAGGUGGGAGUGAAGAUUGCGAUAUGUCAGAGGCUGCCCAGCCUGUGGAGCAGGGCUUUCUGCAGCAGCCGGAGGAGGGCCCCAGCAGUGCUACUGGACAGCAUCAGCCACCACAGCAGGAGGAAGAGGAAUCAAAGCCAGAACCAGAGAGGUCUGGCCUCAGUUGGAGCAACCGGGAGAAGGCAAAGCAGGCCUUCAAGGAGCUGCUGAGGGAUAAGGCUGUCCCCUCCAAUGCCUCGUGGGAACAGGCCAUGAAGAUGGUGGUCACCGACCCCCGUUACAGUGCCUUGCCCAAACUGAGUGAGAAAAAGCAGGCAUUCAAUGCCUACAAGGCGCAGCGGGAGAAGGAGGAGAAGGAAGAGGCCCGGCUAAGGGCUAAGGAGGCCAAGCAGACCUUGCAGCAUUUCCUGGAGCAGCACGAACGCAUGACCUCUACCACCCGCUACCGGCGGGCAGAACAGACCUUUGGGGAGCUGGAGGUGUGGGCUGUGGUCCCUGAGAGGGAUCGAAAAGAGGUUUAUGAUGAUGUCCUCUUCUUCCUGGCCAAGAAGGAGAAGGAACAGGCCAAGCAGCUCCGGCGCCGCAACAUCCAGGCCCUGAAGAGCAUCCUGGAUGGGAUGAGUAGUGUCAACUUCCAAACUACGUGGUCCCAGGCCCAGCAGUACCUCAUGGAUAACCCCAGCUUUGCUCAGGACCACCAGCUGCAGAACAUGGACAAGGAAGAUGCACUGAUCUGCUUCGAGGAGCACAUCCGAGCUUUGGAGAGGGAGGAGGAGGAGGAGCGGGAGCGGGCCCGCCUUCGGGAGCGGCGUCAGCAACGCAAGAACCGGGAGGCCUUCCAGACCUUCCUGGACGAGCUGCACGAGACAGGGCAGCUGCACUCUAUGUCCACCUGGAUGGAGCUGUAUCCAGCUGUCAGCACUGAUGUCCGCUUUGCCAACAUGCUGGGCCAGCCGGGCUCCACCCCUCUGGACUUGUUCAAGUUCUAUGUGGAGGAGUUGAAGGCACGAUUCCAUGAUGAGAAGAAGAUCAUUAAGGACAUCCUUAAGCGUGGCUCCGUUCAGCAGAGAUCUGCUGAGAUCCCUGACUGCGCACGGGGGACACGGAAAUAAGAAAGUUGCAGUUUCUGGCCGUAAGGAGCUCAUGGCCUAGGAGGAAGAUAAACGUGACACCUAUUACGGAGGGGGGCAAGUGCUAUUAGAGACGAGAAUCGCCAGAAUUGCUCUUUGCGCUGCACCUGUAAGAACAAGUAAGUGGAGGAGGCCGGUGUCCCAGGCACAGGGUAUUGCAGGAGCAGAGGCAAGGGGGUGGGAAGGGCACGGCAGGUUUGAGGAGCAAGGGGCACAGCUAAUCGUAAGCUGGUAGCGCACAGAGAUGUUCCUUCUGGCCUGUACAGCGUUUUAGAAAAAGUUCAACUUUGUUGCUAACAUUUUAAAAUUAGGAGAUUGUACAGAAAAAUCUGGGUCUUCAACUUCUCUUAAAAAUACGGAUGAUCUAGCAGCACUGGGCUGGUUUUGCAAGGCAUUCAGUGGCCUCAGGGGCAUGCCAUCCUUAACCUCACGUGCCUGCCACCACUCUGGCGUGGCAGCGAGUUUAGUGGCACCUUGCAGCCACCUUGCUUGUCUUACACUGGAGAGAGAGUUCUCAACGUCCGUGUCCACCAAAGAUGGAAGAGUGAUUGCUGCACUAAGAACCUCGUGUUUCAGAAGGAAAAAACAAAGAGAAAGCGUGUUUGUUGGUGGAAGCGAAGAACACGCAGGGGCGCUGGGGAGGCCGUACACGCAGCAGUUAGGAGCAGCGGUGUGGGGCAGACUGCCUGGGACACGAGUCCAGCUUAACCGCUUACUAAUUGUGUGACCUUCGGCAGACUGUUUAACUUUUCUGAGCCUCAGUUUCCUCCUCUGAAAAAUGGGGGAUUUUCCACCAACGCAUACCUGAUUACCAAGGGCAGUGACGUGGCACCUGGGGCGAGAAGGGUCUGAGAAUAGAGCUAGGAACGUGCCCCUGCACACACAGCAUUUCUCUGAAGGCCUGUGUUUUGCUUCCAGAUGCAGGUGUUGUAUCUUCAUACCGUAUUACUUCUCUGUUUAAUACAAACAUAACGUUUUAAAAGUCCUUACCAUUAGGUAACACAUGCCCUAUUGUCCUGUGGCUUCCUGUUUCGCUGGGACCCGACGGCCCAGUUUGGAAGGAGAGCCCUAGGUGUAAAAUACCUUGAAUGCUAACACAAGAAGUUUGCGUUUUUAUCUUGUAAGUAAUGGGCAGCCAGGGAACGGUAUGGUCGGAGGAUGUCUUGGAAGAGCCACGGGGGCCGAGUGUAGAGUAGCACCUCUCAGACUGAGUGCUUGCGUCCUUAGGGAUCGGUGGGGGAAAGACAGUAUUCGAAGCCUCGGGACACUGAAAAGUCACAGUGGCCAGUGAUUCGAACACAUUUGGAGCUUGAGCCGUCCUCUUCUGGCUCACCCCCAGGCUCUCUCCCCUGCUGUUCGGGCCCUUUGGUGGAAAAGUCGGAGCAGUACAGGACUGGAGCACGGUUAGCAGUGCGGGAGGUGGUCUGGGUGGUAAGUGAGCUCGGCAGAGGCAGCAGGGACAGCAGAUGAGGGGGAGCUGUAGUGCUCCAGCUGUGUUUUUCUGAGGACCCCCCUCCCCUCGGGUUUCCUCAGGGGUGCCUUGGGACAAGAAAGUGGGACAGUUUAUGCUCCUUCCUCUAUGUUUAAGUAUAGCAGUUUUUCUUUUAUAUGUUGAGGCUCUACAUAAGAUUUUUGUGAAAAAAAAUGUUUCUGCUGUUAAAAAAAGAAGUUUAAAAGCAGGAGGGUGGAGUCACUCAGAAGUCGAGGGGAUGGAUUUUUUGCGUGUGAAAUGGAGGGCACGGAAGGAGGAGGUUGAAGUGGGCGGAGGUGGGAUGAUGGUACCAUGAGUGAGGACUCAGCAGAACAGGGCUGGAGAAAAUAGGAAUUCCAUUUGGGGAAUUACUCUCGAAACUACCCUGGGGCGGGGAGGAAUAAAGCAAAGACCAUAUCUUAAAUAGGAUGAUCGUGUAAAGUAUAAAUAUCGAAUCCCAGGAGAGCUACAUUUUAUUGGAUGCUUACAUCUUAGCCACAGGGUGGCUGGUCCUGCUGACGGGCCCUGUAGGAGUCCCGUCCUUGCUGUGUCCUGUCUGUCCACCUCUCCUGAGAAAGAAGCUAAGAGUCCCCCUACCUCUUCCCCUUUUGGGGCUCCUGCGUACAGAAGGCUGAUGAGCCCAGGAGUCCCCGUGGCCAUCCACUAGCCAGACAGACUGUGAGGGCACCUCUCACACCAUGGGAUAAUGCAAAGAGCCUUGGAACAGCUGGAGGCCAGAAGAUCUGGGCCUGGGAGAUCCAUGGGAGUGGAGACGGAUGGCUCACAGGGAAUGAAUUCUCUUGGGGUCCACUGAAUUUGAAGUUUCUGUGAAACAUCCAGUCUGUUAUGGGUCUGAAAAUCAGGAGGGACGGAGGGGCCGGGGUUGCUAGGGACAGUCUAGAUUGUAAAGACCCAAGUACUGUUCUCAGGGGAAUAAGCACAGGCAAGAGAGGCAGUUAAAGAGGUCAGAGAGACCAGAGGGUAGUCGUUGAAGGGAGCAGCACACAUACAAGGAUCAGUCAAGUGAGGACCGAGAAGGGGCCCUUGGAAGUUGUCUCUGAGGACAUGAGCGUUUUUAGGAAAGUAGUGUCUGUAAAGAGGGUAGAGUGGGUGCAGCUCAGACCUUGGAGUCAGGUAACGCCUGGCGGUAUGUUAGUUGAGACCUCUGCAAGUCAUACAACGUCUGAGCCUCAGUUUCCUCAUCUGUAGAAUAGGGAUAAUUUACGUGCAUGGUUGUGGGCAGUGCUAAUAUUUGUAUAGUGCCUGGCUUAUAGUAGGUUCACGAAAUGUUGAUUUGUUUUCCUGUGUGCUGCAUUUAAAGAUUUUGAACCAAAGGGAAAGCAGCACAGGUUGUUAGCUUGAGGAAGGUGAGAGCAGGUGGACAGGAGUGAGGGGUAUGAGCUUGAUGGAAGCAGCCAGUGGAGAGGUGGGAUUGAAGCUUUCACUUCCCUGAGAGAGAGACUGGGAUGUUUGAGAGGGGCUGGAGCGUGGGUUGAGGAAACGCUCUCGAAACGGACAAGAGCACGCUCUGCUGCGGGCAGAAGGCCGCCACAAGUUAGUGCUGUGCGGAGGGCGGGGGAGGGGACUGGGCCUGGGCCUCCACUGACGCACACUCCAGCGGCUCCACUUUUCACCGGGUCAACUUGGGCCCAGUGAGGUAACUCUCCUAAGCCUCUGCUUUAUGGAGGUGUUGGGAGGCAGGGAUGAGAAGCUUGGAGUCUGGCCCAGGGAGCUUCGAGAAGGGGAGGUAUUUUUAAUAGUGUUCUGGAGUUGCACACCUGAUGGCCUGGAAUUCCCCUGAGGACUGAGUGAUCUGUGUGGGUUUAGUGCUGCAAACUGUGGGCUUUGGUGUUAGAAGGACCUGGGGUAGAGUUAGCUGUGAGACCGUGGGCAAGCGCUCUAGUUUCUCUAAACCUUGGUUUCUCCUUCCACAUAAACUCAGGCGGCCAGGACCUAUGGUUAAAUUUCGAUACUGAGGAUUAAAACAGAUAAGGUGUGUGAAGCACUCAGCACAGUACCUGGCAGCAUAGUAAGCACCCAAGAAAUAAGCCAAAGGAUGGGACCGACAGGUGUUGACAGAAUGCAAGGAAGUUACUGAGCAGCAGCAGGAGGGCCCAUCUGGGGCCGAGCCUUAAGCCGAAGGAACAAAGAAUGACUUGUGAGAAAGGCAGGCAUCAGUCAGCAGACAGGGUGCACGCGCACCGUGCUCCCCUCCCCAUGGGAUCCGGUGCCCCCCUCCGCUCCCUGCGACAUCCAGACCGAGGGCAGGCGUGGGAGGCUUAGUCAUCACACGGUGAGGACUUGGACAGCAGAAGUACGUCUGAGUCCCGUGGGUCUCUUCUGGGGGCUGGGGGACUUCUAGAGCACCCUGUAGUCUGACCCUCUGCCUGCGCCGGAGGCCGGCUUCGGGCUUCGGGCCCUUGGUGGCCUCUGCUUCAUGCGCCGCUGUGCCCACAGGACCGGGGCUUCUGCGUGGAGGUGAACACAGCCUUUGAGGACUUCGCCCACGUCAUAAGCUUUGACAAGAGGGCUGCUGCGCUGGACGCAGGCAACAUCAAGCUGACCUUCAAUAGUCUGCUGGAGAAAGCAGAGGCGCGGGAGAGAGA
Ailuropoda melanoleuca (giant panda) is the source of this 7894-nucleotide RNA transcript. It is a transcript of the gene named pre-mRNA processing factor 40B, with no coding region annotated. The transcript is spliced from 19 exons. Lineage: Eukaryota; Metazoa; Chordata; Mammalia; Carnivora; Ursidae. The record is from RefSeq and is a predicted model, not a curated record.